Molecule: long non-coding RNA, 360 nt
Organism: Suricata suricatta (meerkat)
Lineage: Eukaryota; Metazoa; Chordata; Mammalia; Carnivora; Herpestidae
Exons: 4
Source: RefSeq, a predicted model, not a curated record
UCAGAACACUCUGGCUGUACACGUACUUUCUCAACUGGUACUUGAGUCUCAACGAAAUAGUCACCAGCUCCAGUGAAAUCCUUUCCUGACUCCACCGGGCAGAAUACUAUCCAUAUGGACACCCAAGGGACAAUGUGAUUUAACACUAAAGGCUCUGAAGGACCUGCUCAAUGUGAAGAUAAAACUUCCAGCAGCACAACACUGAAAUAAAGUACAUCAAUAAUGUAACAGCAUCUUAUUAUUAGUGCCUGGCACAUCUGGAAGAAGGAACAAGCAAGACAGCAAAAGCAGAGAACCUGAAGACUGUGAGUUCUAUAAUAAAAAGAGAGAGAGACAGACCAUGAGUGGAGGAGGAGCAGA